GAAAAAAGGGGAAGAAAUGAGGAAAAAGAAGAGAUUUUCUCUUAUGUAUUCAUUUAACAAACUGACGGAUUACCGACGGGUUUUUUCCGUCGGUAUUUAAUAUACCCGUCGGAAAUCCGUCGGUUUUUUAAUAUUGGCGGUUCGCUGAAAUUUUGCGCGGUACAGCUUCACCCGGGUAAUUUUCUAAAUACCGACGACCAUUUUCGUCUGUUCUUCGUCGGUAUAGUUAAUUCCGUCGGUUAUUUGUCGGAAUAUUCCGACGAGAUACCGACGGAUUACGGUUUAGAGUUUACACAGGGUGUCGAAAUUAUUUAUAUUUGUUAUACGACUUUCUAAAACCGAUAUAUUAUGUUAUAUAAUCAUAAAACAUUCUCAAAAAAAUGUUAUAAAUUUAUUUGAGUGUUACAACUUCUGAGAACUGGCACAAGCCAACUUAAAAGUGUAUGAUGUUGUUCGAACGGUUAUGAUUGAAUGAUUAUAUAUAUGUCAUGUUCAAAGUUUUAAAAUUGUGAGAAUACAAUGGGUAGAUUUGUUGUCUGAUGUUAUAUGUGAUAUUUAAUACAACUGUAAAAAAAACAUACCUGUAAGAAACCGAAACUCUAAAUUGAUAAUGUCCGUCGGUAUUCCGUCGGUAUUUACCGACGCAUUUCCGACGAACCCCUCAAAUUCUAGGUGUUCGUCGGAAAUGCGUUGGUAAAUACCGACGGAAUACCGACGGACAUUAUCAAUUUAGAGUUUCAGUUUGAUUUUUGUUUUACAACCGUUAGAUUUUUAAAUCAACAAAUCUAAUUUAUUUUUUUAAUUUUAAAGUAUACAACGUUUCAAACCCAUAAUUUGUUUUUAGAAGAAAUCUACAAUGUUUGAAAGUAAUUUGCAUAUACAUUCAUAAAAGAGUAUCUACUCUGCAUCUGAGGAAUUAUCUGAUGAUGAACAUGAUGAAUCUGAAUCGUCUUCGUGAAACGGCUGUUCAAUCCGUCGGUAUUCCGUCGGAAUAUACCGACGGAAUUCUGACCGAAUUCCAAAAUUGUCGGUAUUUCGUCGGUAUGUGUCAAUUUUUUGCAACGGUCAUAUUUUUGUCAGUUUUUUGUCAGUUUUUUGUCGGGAUCGUAUGACCAAAUACCGACGAAAGUAUUCUGUCAGGAUUUUCCGACGCAGUUCCGACGAAUUUGCCGAAAUAGAUUUCCGACAAGUUUUCGUCGGAAUUCCGUUGGAAAAUCCUGACCGAUUUUUUUCGGUCGGUUUUUCCGUCGGUAUUGUCCGUGUUUUCUUGUAGUGUUAGUUUAAUUGGCAACUUAGGUUUAUAAAUCAGGUAAACUUUAAUUUUAUUUUAGCAAUAUUUUUUACUUUUAUUCAUUUUAGAUAAUAUAGUUUAUAUGACAUGGACUUACAUUUAAUGUUAAUUUAUAUUUUUGAUAAACAUUUAAAAAUAUGGUAAUAACUUGACAUUAUUCUGUUAAGAUUUCCCAUUUGAGAAACCCUUUUCAGUAUUACAUCUAAUGUCGAUUUAUAUUUUUGAAAUUUUUUUUUAGAAUAUGAUAAUAACUCAUAAAUCAUUAUUAAAAUAAAUGUAUUAAAAAUGGUAUUACAAAUUUCAAAAUAUCAUUUAAUAAUUUAUAUAUUUUUAAAUUAUACAAUUUUAUUACUAAAAUUUACAAAAAAAAAAGUAUACAAUUUUUUUUAAAGAAAAUUAUAAAAAUUUGAUCCGCGAGAGAUCAUUUGUAAAUUGUGUUGAAUUGGGCCAGGGCCCAUAGAAGUAAAUGAACAUAUAUUUAAAAGGCAAGAGUAACGAAACCUUGGGCAAGAAGAAAAGUGGAAACCUAAAUUGCCGCGUUCACAGGCUUACCGCGUUCGUCAAGGGCGUACUUUCUCAUCCUCCUCCUCCUCCGCUCCCAAUCCUAUCGAUGACAAAGGGAAGAGAUCGGUCAUCACCCCAGUCUGGGAGUCUGUUAAUCGUCUUGCCCCCUGGUUUGUUGGUGGAUAUGUGUUUAAAUUUGGUUUGGAAAUCUCGGCCUUAAUUAAAUCCAAGCUAAAGUCUGUUGAGUUGCACGAAGAAUAUUUGAGAGAGUUUGAACGUUAUCAUCAGGAAAAGGAGCAGAGCCGUAGCCUCCGUCCAUUCUCCUAGAAAUGUAAUGAAAUGUAUUAUAUCUAUUUGCAAUGCCAGUGAACUUAAUUGUCUAUGGUUGUGAUGUACUUGUUUUUUUUUUUUUUUUUUUUUUGGCGUUUAUAAACAUUGGCCUCUCAGACUUCUUUACGUAUCUUUGUUUCCCACUUGAACCGGGGUGGCUGCCUUGUUAUAUCUAUCAUGUGUAUUCAACUUUUACUCCAUUGAGAGUAAGCUAUCUAAAAUAAAUGAUGCUUAUUGUUAUGGUUGUUUCCGCGUGC
Brassica napus (rape) is the source of this 2382-nucleotide long non-coding RNA. RefSeq lists it as uncharacterized. The record is from RefSeq and is a predicted model, not a curated record. Lineage: Eukaryota; Viridiplantae; Streptophyta; Magnoliopsida; Brassicales; Brassicaceae. The transcript is spliced from 4 exons.